Molecule: ribosomal RNA, 499 nt
Filed under: uncultured Glomeromycotina
Lineage: Eukaryota; Fungi; Glomeromycota
Description: partial small subunit ribosomal RNA
Rfam family: Eukaryotic small subunit ribosomal RNA
Source: RNAcentral
CCAAUAGCGUAUAUUAAAGUUGUUGCAGUUAAAAAGCUCGUAGUUGAAUUUCGGGAUCAGUACGCCGGUCGUGCCUCCGGUAUGUACUGGUGUCACUGGUUCCUCCCUUCUGAAGAACCAUCAUGCUAUUAAUUUAGUGUGGUGGGAAAUCAGGACUGUUACUUUGAAAAAAUUAGAGUGUUUAAAGCAGGCUCACGCUUGAAUACAUUAGCAUGGAAUAAUGAAAUAGGACGUUGAUCCUAUUUUGUUGGUUUCUAGGAUUGACGUAAUGAUUAAUAGGGAUAGUUGGGGGCAUUAGUAUUCAAUUGUCAGAGGUGAAAUUCUUGGAUUUAUUGAAGACUAACUACUGCGAAAGCAUUUGCCAAGGAUGUUUUCAUUAAUCAAGAACGAAAGUUAGGGGAUCGAAGUCGAUCAGAUACCGUCGUAGUCUUAACCAUAAACUAUGCCGACUAGGGAUCGGAUGAUGUUAAUUUUUUAAUGACUCAUUCGGCGCCUUACG